Molecule: ribosomal RNA, 501 nt
Filed under: uncultured bacterium
Lineage: Bacteria
Description: partial 16S ribosomal RNA
Rfam family: Bacterial small subunit ribosomal RNA
Source: RNAcentral
AUUGAACGCUGGCGGCAGGCUUAACACAUGCAAGUCGAGCGGGGAAAGGUAGCUUGCUACCUGACCUAGCGGCGGACGGGUGAGUAAUGCUUAGGAAUCUGCCUAUUAGUGGGGGACAACGUUCCGAAAGGAACGCUAAUACCGCAUACGUCCUACGGGGGAAAGCAGGGGAUCUUCGGACCUUGCGCUAAUAGAUGAGCCUAAGUCGGAUUGGCUAGUUGGUGGGGUAAAGGCCUACCAAGGCGACGAUCUGUAGCGGGUCUGAGAGGAUGAUCCGCCACACUGGGACUGAGACACGGCCCAGACUCCUACGGGAGGCAGCAGUGGGGAAUAUUGGACAAUGGGCGCAAGCCUGAUCCAGCCAUGCCGCGUGUGUGAAGAAGGCCUUUUGGUUGUAAAGCACUUUAAGCGAGGAGGAGGCUCCUUUAGUUAAUACCUAAAGUGAGUGGACGUUACUCGCAGAAUAAGCACCGGCUAACUCUGUGCCAGCAGCCGCCGUAA